Molecule: ribosomal RNA, 426 nt
Filed under: Triticum aestivum (bread wheat)
Lineage: Eukaryota; Viridiplantae; Streptophyta; Magnoliopsida; Poales; Poaceae
Description: partial small subunit ribosomal RNA
Source: RNAcentral
AUGCGUACUCCCGUUGUUGCUUGCUGCGUUGACCUGUUUGAAAUGGACGACAUGUUUGGCGUGGCCAUCUCUGAUUGUGAGAAAAUCAUUGAUAUAUGGGUGUUGCAAGAUUAUGAAAGGGAGAUAUGGGUCUUAAAUCGCAGGAUUGAAUUGCCGUCUGCAGAGAUCAGGGAGCAGUGUGAUAAGUAUGACACAUACAUUCGGUCGCCGUUUUAUGUGACUGUCAUGCCAGGUGAUGGUGAGUGGCUCGUGUUGGUCAAAUUUGCCGACUGGCUACUUCGGGUUGGCAUGGAUGGCAAGUUGAUCACCACUUUCCAUCGCAAAGGAUUAGAUCAUACCUAUUUUCAGCUUAAACAAUCUCUUGUUUCGCAUACCUUCUUUCAUACACUAGAGGAUUAUGUUGUGAAUGCUCCACCUUUUAUCUGA